UAGAGAGGGUGCGAGCGUUAAUCGGAAUUACUGGGCGUAAAGCGCACGUAGGCGGCGACGUAAGUCGGGCGUGAAAGCCCCGGGCUCAACCUGGGAAUUGCAUUCGAGACUGCAUUGCUGGAGUACGGAAGAGGAGGGCGGAAUUCCCGGUGUAGCGGUGAAAUGCGUAGAUAUCGGGAGGAACAUCAGUGGCGAAGGCGGCCCUCUGGUCCAGUACUGACACUCAAGUGCGAAAGCGUGGGGAGCAAACAGG
RNAcentral lists this ribosomal RNA (253 nucleotides) under uncultured bacterium. Its description in RNAcentral is "partial 16S ribosomal RNA". It matches the Rfam family "Bacterial small subunit ribosomal RNA", at positions 524 to 776 of the family's 1533-position model. The record is from RNAcentral.